This 302-nucleotide non-coding RNA is filed under the name Moritella yayanosii. Lineage: Bacteria; Pseudomonadati; Pseudomonadota; Gammaproteobacteria; Alteromonadales; Moritellaceae. The record is from RNAcentral.
UAAGUCCCUGUCAGGUAAGGUUUAACCAACCACCUGUAUCGAGUGUUGCGCCUUUGGCGGAGUUUGAGAUUAGCCGAUGCUUUUCAGUGAGCGAUCACAAUCAAGCGAACAAUAUAGGUGAAGCGUACACAGAGAAUCAUAUAGGCCAUAGGGAUUGUCGUGAUCCUGAAGUGCUGGUAUCGCUCCGAUAAAUAUGAGGUCUGACUGACGAGGUUUACUUUUUUUAUAAUGAAAAGGCCAUCGAAGUCCAAGUUGCACAACGUUUUGGUGAGGUUGUGGCGAGUCAGCGGCUUAUUUUAAAA